This is a non-coding RNA of Termitomyces sp. 'cryptogamus', 83 nucleotides long. The record is from the annotation of a GenBank genome assembly. Lineage: Eukaryota; Fungi; Basidiomycota; Agaricomycetes; Agaricales; Lyophyllaceae.
GCAUUAAUGGGGUAGUGGUAACCUGGGUCGUUGCCAUUGGCAUUGAUGUCGACCCGCCGGGGGUUCGAUUCCCCCUUAAUGCA